GUGGCGUGGCCUGGUUGUAGAGCGUCGGCUCUAGGUUGAUGGUUGGUUUUCGUUUUUCUGUUCUGCUGUGGUUCCUUUUGCUGUUGUGCAUGUGGAACGUGGUGUCGGUUUAUUAUUUUGUGGAAUGUCAUCAAGGGGGCAGGUGUUGUGAAAUGAUGUGUUGUUUUCCUGUGUGA
Sycon ciliatum is the source of this 176-nucleotide long non-coding RNA. RefSeq lists it as uncharacterized. The record is from RefSeq and is a predicted model, not a curated record. Lineage: Eukaryota; Metazoa; Porifera; Calcarea; Leucosolenida; Sycettidae. The transcript has 2 exons.